RNAcentral lists this small RNA (100 nucleotides) under Sinorhizobium meliloti 2011. RNAcentral's name for it is "putative ncRNA". Lineage: Bacteria; Pseudomonadati; Pseudomonadota; Alphaproteobacteria; Hyphomicrobiales; Rhizobiaceae. The record is from RNAcentral.
GCCACGCCGAUGAAAAGCUCUGGACCCCGGGCCUGCGACUAUUCAGUUUAUCGAAUGUUCGCGUCUUGAAGUGAAGGGCAUUGACACUCUAUGUAAGGUC